CCCCCACUCUGUCUCUCUGUCUCCCAAAAAUAAACACUUAAAUUAAAAAAAUAAAUAAAAACUAAACUACACUUUAGUCUAUAUUGUUUUUGGAUUUUGCCUUGCAGGCAACUGCCCCCAUUCAUGAUGCUCCCCCCUUAUUUGCUUGUUAGACAUCAUCUCUAAAUUCUAGGUUCCAUUCCAUGUUCCAUUAUUCUUCUGGAGCCAUCUCUUUGAGGUCCUCUGUUCUUCAGUUCUAAGGGUGUGACCCAGGCAUCCCAGCAGGGAGACAGUUGGUGUUAAGUUGAAUGUGAGUAGUAUUUCAGAAAGAAUCCAGAACAUGUAGAAGUUAUGUUUGCAGGGAGAUUCUUAGGUUGAGAUCUUAGGGAGAUUCUAGCAAUAUGGCAAAGGUAAAGGAAUAUAGAGUGCCAACAGUACCCUUCUUCCUACAAACACAUGGAAACAUAAGAUAAAAUAUAAUAAUAACAGCAGAAAAUGAAUACAUGGCCGAGUUUGAAAUAAAGGAAAGGAAAUCCCCAGCUUCCAGAAGUGAAGAAGAGUAUCAAAGUAGAAACGACAGUGAGCACAGAUAUUUCAGAAGUGGGUAUUGCUCUCAGGCAUUUGGCCAGGACUCUGAUAUUUACAUAGCAACAGGAAAAUGAACAGAAAAACACACUAUGGCCCCUACAGAAAUAGGCCAGGGGUUCAGAUAGGUGGGCAUUUAAUAAGAUGGGAGGGGGUAGAGAGAGACCUUACUUACAGCCCAGGAAAACAACAACAAAGUUUAUACUCUGACCCCAACAUUGGUGAGAAAUAAAGUGUUGUUUCUCAGAGAAACAAAAGCCCUAGACAUGAACCACGCAUAGGGAAGGAGCCUAAACUUAUUCUAGUGGCAUUUGGGGAGAAUCUCCAAGUAUAUCAGUCAGCAUAGGCUAGGUAAUGCUUCAGUAACAGACAAUCCCCAAAUCUCAGUGGCACCUGGGACAACCAGUGUCUAUUUAUUGCUCAAAUUGCCUGCCCACUGCAGGUUGGCAGAAGCCUCUGCCUUUCUUGGCCCACCAAGGACCCAUGCUGAUAGAGGCUCCUUUUCAGUGUGUCACUAAAGGAGGAAAGGGGAGCCUGACAAGUCCUGCUGUGGCUCUCCAAGCUUCUGCAUGCAGUGGUAGUUCAGUUAAAAGUCAGCACAACACUGUGCUCAACUUCAAAAGGGACAAAGGAGGUGCAAGCCAUCAAUGUGCCUAGAAAAGAAGUAGACUAUUUGUGGGACAAUACCAAUGACAAGCAACACAAACCUAUAAAUUCACUUAGAAAUGAUCAGGAACACCAGAAUCCCUCAAGCAGGUUUUUCAACUGAGGAGAGAAAUGAUCCACUAGGAUAUAAGUCUUAGGAAAUCUCACAAUCUGAGGAGAGAUAGAAAAGAAAAGAUGAAAAGAAAAGAAAAGAAAAGAAAAGAAGAGAAAGAAAGAAAGAAAGAAAGAAAGAAAGAAAGAAAAAAGGAAACAUCAAAAGGCAAUUCAGAGGCAGCAUAAAACAGCCGAGGACAUCAAUAUCUAAUAGGUACUCCACAAGACAAGACUAGUAAUAAUUGGGAGAAGACAAUAAGAGGAGAUAUAGCAAAUGAGAAUUUUUCUAAAAUUGAAGACAGACCUGAGCCUUCAAGUUGAAACACCACACAAAAUCCCAAGCAAAAUUUAGAGGAAAAAAAUCCACACAUAGGCCCACUGUCGGGAAACUUCAAAACAUCAGAUGUCGAAAGCAAAUCUUUACCACAGCCAGAGAGUAAGGACAGGUUAUCUAAAAAGAAAAGAAAACUUGACAGCAGCAUACUUUUACAAGUCAAGAAGUCUGAAAACAAUGGAAUAAUAUCUUCGAAAUCCUGGGGGAAAGAUCACUUUCAACCAAUAUUUCGUUAACUGGCAAAAUCUUCACUUAAGGGUGAGGGCCAACAGAAGACAUGUUCAAAUAAAGUAAAGAGAAUUUCACAUUUACAGAACUUUGGCUGAAAGAACUAGUAACAAUGUAUGAAAUGAAUCACAACCAAGUGAUUUAUUCCAGGUAUGCAAGGCCAUUGCAACAUUUGAGGUUCAGUCGAUGUAAGGUACCAUAUCGAUAGGCUAAAGAAGAAAAAUCGUAUGAUCAUACCAAUUGACACAGAAAAAGCAUUUGAAAAAAAUCUAGUACCCAUUCAUUAUUUCAAAAAAUAAAUCAAAACUCUCAGCAAACUAGGAAUAGAGGGAAACUGUCUCACCUCAUAAAGACCGUCUGCAAAAACCUACCAGCUAACAUCAUACUUAAUGGUGAAAGAUUGAAUGUUUUCCCUCUAGGAUUGGGAACAAGGAAAGAAUGUCUAAUGUCACCACUCUUAAUCAACAUAAUUCUGGAAGUUCUAGCCCAUGCAAUAGAUAAGAAAAAGAAACACAAGCCAUGCGACUUAGAAAGGAGAAAUAAACUGCCUCUGUUUCCAGAUGACAUUAUGUAAUAGAAAAUCUGAAAGAAUGUAAAAAAAAAAAAAAAAAGCAAAUAAAACACUUCAUAGAAGUAAUAAGUGAGUUAGCAAGGUCACAGCAUACAAGAUCAACACACAAAAUCAAUUGCAUUUCUGUGUUCUAACAGCAAACAAAUGGAAGGCAAAAUGAAAAACACAAGACCGUUUACAACCGCUCCAGAGAAAAUGAAACAAUUACAAAUCUAGUAAAACAUGUAUGCUGAAAAUUGCAAUGUAUUGAUGAGAGAAACCAGAGACCUAAGAGUUGAAGAGACAUACUGCUUUCAUACAUUGGAAGAUUCAGUUCUCCCCCCAAAUUGAUCCCUUGGUUUAACACAAUUUCUAUCAAAAUCACAGCAAGAUUUUUUUUAGCAGAUUCAAAAAUGUAUAUUAAAAAGGUAAAGGAGCUAGAAUAACUAAAACAGUUUUGGCCAAGAAGAAUAAAGAGGGAGGAAUCAGUUUACCGAUUUCAAGUCUUUACCUUAUUUUAAGUCUUACCGUAGAACUACAGCAAUCAAGAUUGUGUGGGAUUGGCAGAGAGAUAGACACAAAGAUCAAUGAAAUAGAAUAGAGACUCCAGAAAUACACCCACACAGUUAUGCCCAACUGAUACUGAUCAAACUGCAAAGGCAAUGCAGUGGAGGAAAGACAGUUUUUCCAACAAGUCAUGUUGGGGCAAUUGGACAUCCACAGGCAAAACCCAGGACUUUAACCUAAGUCUUGCUCCUUAUACAAAAUGUACUUGAAAUAGAUCACGGACUUAAAUGUAAAAUGUAAAAUGUAAAAUUAUGAAGCCGUUAGGAAAAAGAGGAAAGAGUAUUCAGAACCUCAAAUUUUGUGAAGAGUUGUUAGCCAUCACACCAAAAGCAUGGUCCAUGAAAGCAGGAGUUGAUAAAAUAGACUGCCUCCU
Herpailurus yagouaroundi (jaguarundi) is the source of this 3375-nucleotide long non-coding RNA. RefSeq lists it as uncharacterized. Lineage: Eukaryota; Metazoa; Chordata; Mammalia; Carnivora; Felidae. The record is from RefSeq and is a predicted model, not a curated record. The transcript is spliced from 2 exons.